UGGCACAGCAGCUGGUGCCUCGGCCCGGGGACUGCUGGCCAGG
Molecule: microRNA precursor, 43 nt
Filed under: Bos taurus (domestic cattle)
Lineage: Eukaryota; Metazoa; Chordata; Mammalia; Artiodactyla; Bovidae
Description: microRNA bta-mir-12026 precursor (bta-mir-12026-2)
Source: miRBase by way of RNAcentral